Molecule: long non-coding RNA, 905 nt
Organism: Crotalus tigris (Tiger rattlesnake)
Lineage: Eukaryota; Metazoa; Chordata; Lepidosauria; Squamata; Viperidae
Exons: 2
Source: RefSeq, a predicted model, not a curated record
UCAAUAAGGGCUGCUGGAUCCAUGAUGUAAAGCCUCCACGGGCUUGGAAUAAAAUGUAGGUAUAUUGACGAAAGGAGUAAAGGGCUAGAACAUACACACUGCUUGUCAGGUUACCAUAUCUCAUUCUUUGACUUAGUGUACAUUCAGACAGCUUGAUUUCAAGGGGCCUGUGCAGUGAACUGAAGCAUAACUUUGGCUGUCUGAAAGCUUCACUUGCCUGACAAACCUGUUCUUCUUGUGAGUUUAGCCCCCAGGCACCUGCUAGGAAAAUUAAGUGAUUUAAAGGAAAGACUGCCAGGAUUGCUCAGCCAUUGUGCCUGAAUUUGGAUCCCAGAUAUUGAAAGAUGGUCUGACUAAGGUUUUAGUGGGGACUUAUAAAAAUCAUGCCACUUGGAUGGAUAGGUGAUCCUGUCAAGUGAGACUUCUUUUGAAAAUCCAGCUGCAAGAUGUCACACCUACAGGCACAAAUGAAGGUGAUCUACAAGAUCCUGAUCUACCUAAAAAGAAGUACCACAUGGAGACAGCUUCAGAAGAAAAGAGGGGAGACAGCUUGACUGGAUCUAAGCCCAUUAUUUCUUUAUCUCCACUGACAGUUGGAACCAGGAAUCGGGAAGUUCUUAGCAUUUUUAGAAAAAAGGACACUGCAUUAUUGCCAGAGACCAAAGAAAGCAUCCUUUAAAAAUAAUUCUAGAUAGAGGAUGGCUGCCUAUUACAUUUCUGCCAAUGGAGGGCACCACAUUUUAACUUAAUAUUGGAACGUUGAUUGGAAGCAGUGACAUAGACAUUUUCUCCAUCACUAAGUUUUAGAUCAUUUCACUGUAAUUUGCCUGGAUAAAAUCUGGAUUUUAAAUUGAUUAACAUCUCAGUUUAGUCUAUGAGAUAAACAUCUUUGUUUGAAUUAUGAA